AAAAACGGUCCAAAAUGACGGAGGAAAAGGUAAGAAUGGAUAAAAACACAUUUUGAUAUUGAACACUGGAUGAAUAGUCAUUAUUUGUGUACAUUAAAUCAAGUAAGUGUGGUUUAUUAACCAGUAAUGUCUGCUGUAACGAUAGCGAUUGUAACAGCAAGCAAGAUUUUUUUCCUUUUUUUCUUUUAUUUAUUUGUACAGGUUAUAACAUUGACAAUAUAACAUUGUCUCAUUUUCAACAAAGAAACGUAUAAGAUAAACUUUAUGCUCUUUAUAUAUUAGUAUUUAUCUGUUUUUUAAUCUUUAAAUGACUCUGAGAAGUUGCACACAGUUUUGCUCAUUUGAAAACUUGUGACCUCAGUUGUACAAUUGUUAAGAUAAAAGAUUUGUUGAUGAAUAAUAUUUUUCAUGUUUAGAGAUUAAAAAUUCUGUUGAAUCACGGUCAACAGUGUCAUUUGAUUUGAUCUGAUUUCAGUUAGCCUUGUUAACCUUUCCUGCUUUUGUCUCCUGACCGUGGUCGGGGAACGCAGGGGAGAUCUAUAUUCUCCAGGGCCGGAGGUAGCGUUCGUUUCCGGGGUUAACUCCCGAGACUUCUUACUCCACAGUUGUUAUGUGGUGGCAGACAAAUGACAGGCCGUUUGUUUGCUGAAGAGAAUCCGGGUUUAUUAGCUGAUUGCACGGUAACAUCCAACUCUCUCUCCCUCCCUGCUCCGGUCGCCGUCUUCACCAUUCAUUCAGCCGCACACACGUAAAAAUGUAAACAAUAACACACCCGUCUUCCGCGUCGCGGGCUCGCUCACGCGCCGCCCCUCGGCCCCGCGCACAUACUCACAUUCACACACUGAGCUGCCUGGGUUACACAUUAGUGUUAGACACAUCCCACAACAGCCUGCUUAUAUUUUAGGACAGGGAAAGUCUUACAGGCAAAUGCAGUCCAGGUCAUUACUACUUGAUUCUGGAUUAAAAAUGUUCCCAUGUUAAAAAUACAAAAUACAAUUUUAUUUGACAUUUUCUCUUAUAGAGCAACACUACGUUCAGUGAAGGAUGAGACCCUGAGCUGAGGAGAUGUGAUUGUGCCAAACAAAGUGGAGCUUGUGUCUCAUCUGCAGGGACAGCGACGGUCAAGUGUAGAGUACGGUGGAUACAGUGUCUACAAAUGCCUCCUUGACUGUGUGCAAAGCCAUGAUCACUGUGGCUUUGUGAAAAAUGUUGUGUCUGUCAGUUUAAACUCUGCUGCAAGACAGCAACCACAAAUAUUACUGCAACUGUGGCGUCCACGGUGACUCCGGCGUCCACGGUGACUCCAGAGUCCACGGUGACUCCGGCGUCCACGGUGACUCCGGCGUCCACGGUGACUCCGGCGUCCACGGUGACUCCAGAGUCCACGGUGACUCCGGCGUCCACGGUGACUGUGGCGUCCACAGCAGACCAUCAGAAAUAAACAUGUGCCAGAGGACACUGAGGACCAUCCCUACAGCAAAGACAUUUCUUUCACACAUCAUCAACCACACAGAUCCUGACUCUCUCAGUCAGGCUUAUGUGUGUGAGCAUUUAGAGCAGUGAUGUUACUGUGGCCAGACAAGAGGACACGUCUUCAAAGAGAGGAAGUGCAAAUGAUCA
Solea solea (common sole) is the source of this 1620-nucleotide long non-coding RNA. RefSeq lists it as uncharacterized. The transcript has 3 exons. The record is from RefSeq and is a predicted model, not a curated record. Lineage: Eukaryota; Metazoa; Chordata; Actinopteri; Pleuronectiformes; Soleidae.